This 143-nucleotide small nucleolar RNA is filed under the name Meriones unguiculatus (Mongolian gerbil). RNAcentral describes it as "Small nucleolar RNA SNORA17 (ENSMUGG00000024080.1)". The stretch from base 1 to 121 matches the Rfam family "Small nucleolar RNA SNORA17". Rfam says of the family: snoRNA ACA 17 belongs to the H/ACA family of snoRNAs and is predicted to guide pseudouridylation of the 28S rRNA at positions U4659 and U4598. It shares the same host gene together with ACA43. NB This family has a high threshold value to exclude a large number of closely related sequences that do not appear to have conserved H and ACA boxes, and may be pseudogenes. Lineage: Eukaryota; Metazoa; Chordata; Mammalia; Rodentia; Muridae. The record is from RNAcentral.
UCUGCCCCUAGAGUCAUUCCAUAUGUAGCUGAAGUGUCACAUGUGUGCCAGUAGGUGGUAGAAAGGAGAAAGGCUAGGUCAGUGUUAUGACCUGUGGUGAACCUCUGACCUUCAGUCCAGUCCCAGGGAGCUAGCCUGAGAUG